GAAUACUGCUCUCUGGAGGAGUGUGAAAAUUAAUUCUACUUACCUUUAAGCACCCACUGGAGGAAGUCUCUAAUCACAGUGCCUCUAGAAAGUUCAAUGGUUAUCCAAGUCUUGAAUCAAAUUGAUGCCAGAAUUCGGUUUGAACUAAUGUGAUAUAUAGUUCACUGAAAUUUUUACCAGCUGCUGAGUUGGGAAUAUUGAAGCAAAAAAUAGAAGCAAGCUGAGGUGGAGUCCUGGGAAAGCAUGAACAGGAUGCAGAAAUUCAGGAAAUGGAGCCAAAAUGGAGCCAAAAUGGAGCUGCGGGCUAGCCAGGCUCAGCUUCCAGGUUAGCAGAGAAGGAGAUGACAAAUUGGAGUGUGAUAAAGUAGCCCUGAACCUGUUUGAAGACAGAAGGGGGAAAAAAGAAGUCCAUGAAACACAGGAUGGAGGACACCAGAGGAAUGAAAGGGUAAUGAUUAAGAUUUACUUGUUCCUCAAACAGCUUGUAGAUAUAGUGGUGCCUUCAACCACAACAAUAAAGCCUAGUGGAAGAAUUUCAGGAAGAGUAGCAUGUUUCUAAAAGCCGUGCUCAUUUGCACCAACUCAAAUAAAAAAUCUACUUUUCCUUUCCA
RNAcentral lists this long non-coding RNA (611 nucleotides) under Oryctolagus cuniculus (rabbit). RNAcentral describes it as "lncRNA (ENSOCUG00000037485.1)". The record is from RNAcentral. Lineage: Eukaryota; Metazoa; Chordata; Mammalia; Lagomorpha; Leporidae.